This 274-nucleotide ribosomal RNA is filed under the name uncultured bacterium. Its description in RNAcentral is "partial 16S ribosomal RNA". It matches the Rfam family "Bacterial small subunit ribosomal RNA", at positions 523 to 796 of the family's 1533-position model. The record is from RNAcentral.
AUACGGAGGGGGCAAGCGUUACUGGGAAUCACUGGGCGUAAAGGACGCGUAGGCGGAUUGGAAAGUCAGAUGUGAAAUCCUACAGCUUAACUGUAGAACUGCAUUUGAAACUUCUAAUCUAGAGUAUGGGAGGGGGAGAUGGAAUUAGUGGUGUAGGGGUAAAAUCCGUAGAUAUCACUAGGAAUACCGAAAGCGAAGGCGAUCUCCUGGAACAUAACUGACGCUAAGGCGUGAAAGCGUGGGGAGCAAACGGGAUUAGAAACCCUAGUAGUCC